RNAcentral lists this ribosomal RNA (374 nucleotides) under uncultured bacterium. RNAcentral describes it as "bacterial SSU rRNA". It matches the Rfam family "Bacterial small subunit ribosomal RNA", at positions 30 to 408 of the family's 1533-position model. The record is from RNAcentral.
AUUGAACGCUGGCGGCAGGCCUAACACAUGCAAGUCGAGCGUGAAAGGGCUUCGGCCUGAGUAAAGCGGCGGACGGGUGAGUAACGCGUAGGAAUCUACCUGGUAGUGGGGGAUAACGUUCCGAAAGGGACGCUAAUACCGCAUACGUUCCGAGGAAGAAAGCGGGGGAUCGCAAGACCUGCGCUAUCAGAUGAGCCUGCGUCCGAUUAGCUAGUUGGUGGGGUAAAGGCCUACCAAGGCGACGAUCGGUAACUGGUCUGAGAGGAUGAUCAGUCACACUGGAACUGAGACACGGUCCAGACUCCUACGGGAGGCAGCAGUGGGGAAUAUUGGACAAUGGGCGCAAGCCUGAUCCAGCCAUGCCGCGUGUGUGA